This is a long non-coding RNA of Condylostylus longicornis, 1205 nucleotides long. RefSeq lists it as uncharacterized. The record is from RefSeq and is a predicted model, not a curated record. Lineage: Eukaryota; Metazoa; Arthropoda; Insecta; Diptera; Dolichopodidae. The transcript has 3 exons.
AUACCUGGACUGUGAAGAUUAAAAUUUAAAAGCAAAUUAAUUUGGAAAAUAUAUCUACAUAAGAUGCACCGUAUAUACUUUACACGUGCUUGCAACUGAAGUGCCAGAGGCUUAAUGUACUUUGGUUUUUUUGGCGAAGUCAGAAUUGUUUUGUACUCAGGAUUUUAGUAUAAAAAUUGUUCUUCUCCGUCUUCUUAAGAGUGAUCAAACCAAUCAUAAGUGUCUCAAGAAGACAACGGAAGUAAGAUCUCUGAAAGUAAUGUAAAAGGCCCGUUAUAUCAGGGACCAAUGGUCGACCUGGAGAACCUGUGUAAGGAACUGAAAGAAGAGAUUUGCAAACUUAAGGCAGAAAAUUUGAGGUUACUGGGACAGCAGAAUGUAGUUUCAAAUGGCACCGAGAAAGACAAAAUAGUGUGCGAAACAGAUGAAGAAUAGAGGAAUUAACCAAACCUCAAAGAAAGUUUAACGUGAACGUAAAUAUGAUGAACAACGAUCAACUAAAACUAAAGGUUAAAAAUGAAUAUUGAUAAUUAACUAAAGCUGUUAAUAGGGCCAAAUUGGAUUGGCAUGCUUAUGAAAAUAAAUUGAUGAGGCCAAUUAAAGUAACUGUCAGAAACUUACAUCCAUCAUGUGAACCAGAGGGUAGGAUAAAGGUUAUCCAUAGGGGAUACAAAGGCGUGGAUGUCAUAAAUAAAAUUAAAAAAAUAAAAGAAAUGAUGUAAAUAAUAUUAAAAGUUGUCCCUUUUUAUGUUGUUCUUGAUCACAUCGAAGACAUAAAUAAAAUAUAUAAAAUAGAAUAUCUUCAGCACAUUAUAGUAAGAGUUGAGCCUCUUAGAAAUGAUGGAUUCGUCCUGCAAUGCAAGAAAUGCCAGAGGUUUGGUCAUACACAAAGAUUUUGCUAAAGCGAGGCUAAAUGUGUUAAUUGUUACCGAGGCUAUACCUGCUAGUUACCGAGGUUGUUUAGUAGCUAAGGAAUUACAAAAAAGAUGAAUGAAAAGGAAUCGGCUUAAACGGGUUAUGGGUAAUCAUGAAGGAACCUCAAGAACGAUUAAUGCUUUCACAUCAAAUAAGGUAAAAAAUGGUGUUACAUACUCGCAAAUGGCAUCCAAAAUGGCAGAAAUUGAGUAGAUAAAAGACCAAAGAAAAGUGUGAAUAAUAAAGAAAUAUGUAUUAUAAUUUAUAAUAAUGACAAUAAUACAAUGCAA